UAGACGCCAGAACAGAUCACGUCAAAUACCUCUCUCAAACAGGUAACAACAAAUGAACCCUGUUCCACGUCUUAGGUUGGGGCGACCACGGUGAACAGAAAAACCCCCGCGUGGACUGAGAGCAUAUAUUCACACUUAUUAAUACUGCUUCUCACAACCAUGAGCUACAGCUCUAAAUAACAGAACUUCUGACCAAAAAAAUGAUCCGGCAAUGCCGAUUAACGGACCAAGUUACCCCAGGGAUAACAGCGCAAUCCUCUUUAAGAGUCCAUAUCGACAAGAGGGUUUACGACCUCGAUGUUGGAUCAAGACAUCCUAAUGGUGCAACCGCUAUUAAG
This 338-nucleotide ribosomal RNA is filed under the name Mugil cephalus (flathead mullet). RNAcentral's name for it is "partial large subunit ribosomal RNA". It matches the Rfam family "Bacterial large subunit ribosomal RNA", at positions 2172 to 2569 of the family's 2925-position model. Lineage: Eukaryota; Metazoa; Chordata; Actinopteri; Mugiliformes; Mugilidae. The record is from RNAcentral.